ACCUGCGGAAGGAUCAUUACCGAGUGUAGGGUUCCUAGCGAGCCCAACCUCCCACCCGUGUUUACUGUACCUUAGUUGCUUCGGCGGGCCCGCCAUUCAUGGCCGCCGGGGGCUCUCAGCCCCGGGCCCGCGCCCGCCGGAGACACCACGAACUCUGUCUGAUCUAGUGAAGUCUGAGUUGAUUGUAUCGCAAUCAGUUAAAACUUUCAACAAUGGAUCUCUUGGUUCCGGCAUCGAUGAAGAACGCAGCGAAAUGCGAUAACUAGUGUGAAUUGCAGAAUUCCGUGAAUCAUCGAGUCUUUGAACGCACAUUGCGCCCCCUGGUAUUCCGGGGGGCAUGCCUGUCCGAGCGUCAUUGCUGCCCAUCAAGCACGGCUUGUGUGUUGGGUCGUCGUCCCCUCUCCGGGGGGGACGGGCCCCAAAGGCAGCGGCGGCACCGCGUCCGAUCCUCGAGCGUAUGGGGCUUUGUCACCCGCUCUGUAGGCCCGGCCGGCGCUUGCCGAACGCAAAUCAAUCUUUUUCCAGGUUGACCUCGGAUCAGGUAGGGAUACCCGCUGAACUUAAGCAUAUCAA
RNAcentral lists this ribosomal RNA (573 nucleotides) under Aspergillus flavus. Its description in RNAcentral is "eukaryotic LSU rRNA". The stretch from base 202 to 355 matches the Rfam family "5.8S ribosomal RNA". Lineage: Eukaryota; Fungi; Ascomycota; Eurotiomycetes; Eurotiales; Aspergillaceae. The record is from RNAcentral.